AUUGAACGCUGGCGGCAGGACUAACACAUGCAAGUCGCGCGAGCGGCGGACGGGGGAGUACUGUAUGGGGACUGCCCGAUAGAGGGGGAUCACUACUGGACGCGGUGGCUAAUACCGCAUAAUGUCCGAUAACCCAUAGGGGAUUAGCUAGUAGGUAAGGUAAUGGCUUACCUAGGCGACGAUCCCUAGCUGGUCUGAGAGGAUGAUAAGCCACACGGGGACUGAGACACGGCCCAGACUCCUACGGAGGCAGCAGUGGGGAAUAUUGCAAAAGGGGCGCAAGCGUGAUGCAGCGAUGCCGCGUGUAUGAAGAAGGCACUAGGGUUGUAAAGUACUUUCAGUCGGGAGGCGUUACCGACAGAAGAAGCACCUGCUAACUCCGUGCCAGCAGCCGCGGUAAUUC
This 403-nucleotide ribosomal RNA is filed under the name uncultured bacterium. RNAcentral's name for it is "partial 16S ribosomal RNA". It matches the Rfam family "Bacterial small subunit ribosomal RNA", at positions 30 to 526 of the family's 1533-position model. The record is from RNAcentral.